AGAACGGGUCACGUGAGCGCCUCGCCUGGAUGUGAGUUUCAGCCAGACCUGUGGAUAUCUGGGCUUUGGGCUGUAUGAUCAUUGAGAUGGCCACUGGAAAUCCCUAUCUUCCUAGUAGUUCUGAUUUGGAUUUACUCCAUAAAAUUGUUUUGAAAGUGGGCAAUUUGUCACCUCACUUGCAGAAUAUCUUUUCCAAGAGCCCCAUUUUUGCUGGGGUAGUUCUUCCUCAAGUUCAACACCCCAAAAAUGCAAGAAAAAAAUAUCCAAAGCUUAAUGGAUUGUUGGCAGAUAUAGUUCAUAGACGGGGUUUCACCGUGUUGGCUGUGGUUGGCCAGGCUGCUCUUGAACUCCUGAGCUUAGGUGAUCCGCCCACCUCGGCCUCCCAAAGUGCUGGGAUUACAGGCAUGAGUCACCGCACCCAGGCAGUUCAUGCUUGUUUACAAAUUGAUCCUGCUGACAGGAUAUCAUCUAGUGAUCUUUUGCAUCAUGAGUAUUUUACUAGAGAUGGAUUUAUUGAAAAAUUCAUGCCAGAACUGAAAGCUAAAUUACUGCAGGAAGCAAAAGUCAAUUCAUUAAUAAAGCCAAAAGAGAGUUCUAAAGAAAAUGAACUCAGGAAAGAUGAAAGAAAAACAGUUUAUACCAAUACACUGCUAAGUAGUUCAGUUUUGGGAAAGGAAAUAGAAAAAGAGAAAAAGCCCAAGGAGAUCAAAGUCAGAGUUAUUAAAGUCAAAGGAGGAAGAGGAGAUAUCUCAGAACCAAAAAAGAAAGAGUAUGAAGGUGGACUUGGUCAACAGGAUGCAAAUGAAAAUGUUCAUCCUAUGUCUCCAGAUACAAAACUUGUAACCAUUGAACCACCAAACCCUAUCAAUCCCAGCACUAACUGUAAUGGCUUGAAAGAAAAUCCACAUUGCGGAGGUUCUGUGACAAUGCCACCCAUCAAUCUAACUAACAGUAAUUUGAUGGCUGCAAAUCUCAGUUCAAAUCUCUUUCACCCCAGUGUGAGGUUAACUGAAAGAGCAAAAAAGAGACGCACUUCUUCACAAUCUAUUGGACAAGUUAUGCCUAAUAGCAGGCAAGAGGAUCCAGGUCCUAUUCAAAGCCAAAUGGAGAAGGGUAUAUUUAAUGAGCGAACAGGUCACAGUGACCAAAUGGCAAAUGAGAACAAAAGGAAGCUGAAUUUUUCCAGAUCUGACAGGAAAGAAUUCCAUUUUCCAGAAUUGCCUGUCACAAUACAGUCAAAAGAUACAAAAGGAAUGGAAGUUAAACAGAUAAAAAUGCUGAAGAGGGAGUCAAAGAAAACAGAGUCAUCUAAGAUACCAACUUUACUUAACGUGGAUCAAAAUCAAGAAAAACAAGAGGUACGUCUUUAUCAGCGGCAUGAAGACAGACCAAUACAGUGAAUUGGUACCAGUAGAGUGGGGCAUUGCUGAAAAGAUACCCAAAAAUGUGGAAGCAACUUUGGAACUGGGUAACAGGCAGAGGUUUGAACAGUUUGGAGAGCUCAGAAGAAGACAGGAAAAUGUGGGAAAGUUUGGAACUUUCUAGAGACUUGUUGAAUGGCUUUGACCAGAAGCUUGAUCAUGAUAUGGACAAUAAAAUCCAAGCUGAGGUGGUCUCAGAUAGAGAUGAGGAACUUGUUGGGAACUGGAGCAAAGGUGACUCUUGUUAUGUUUUAGCAAAGAGAUUGGCAGCAUUUUGCCCCUGCACUAGAGAUUGUGGAACUUUGAACUUGAGAGAGGUGAUUUAGGGUAACUGGUGGAAGAAAUUUCUUUUUGUUGUUGUUGUUUUUUUUCUUUUUUGAGACAGUCUCACUCUAUAACCAGUCUGGAGUGCAGUGGCAUGAUCUUGGCUCACUGCAAC
RNAcentral lists this long non-coding RNA (1860 nucleotides) under Homo sapiens (human). Its description in RNAcentral is "non-protein coding lnc-CDKL3-2:9". Lineage: Eukaryota; Metazoa; Chordata; Mammalia; Primates; Hominidae. The record is from RNAcentral.